CGCACAGCUCAUUAACACGUGGCUAACCUGCCCUUGGGAUAGGGACAACCCCGGGAAACUGGGGCUAAUCCCCAAUAGGCGAAGAACCCUGGAAUGAGUCUUCACCUGAAAGGACGCUCACACUAUGCUUGUGGGCUUCGCCCAAGGAUGGGGCCGCGACCGAUCAGGUUGUUGGUGAGGUAACGGCUCACCAAGCCUAUAACCGGUGCGGGCCGUGGGAGCGGGAGCCCGGAGAUGGGCACUGAGACAAGGGCCCAGGCCCUACGGGGCGCAGCAGUCGCGCAAACUUUGCAAUACACGAAAGUGUGACAGGGCUAUCCCGAGUGCCGUCCGCUGAGGAUGGCUUUUACCCAGUCUAGAACGCUGGGGGAAUAAGGAGAGGGCAAGUCUGGUGUCAGCCGCCGCGGUAAUACCAGCUCUCCGAGUGGUGUGGAUGUUUAUUGGGCCUAAAGCAUCCGUAGCUGGCCAAGCCAGUCCCUUGUUAAACCCACCGAAUUAAUCGUUGGAGUGCGGGGGAUACUGCUCGGCUAGGGGACGAGAGAGGCAGACGGUAUUUUCGGGGUAGGGGUGAAAUCCUAUAAUCCCGGGAAGACCACCAGUGGCGAAGGCUGUCUGCUAGAACGCGCCCGACGGUGAGGGAUGAAAGCUGGGGGAGCGAACC
This 661-nucleotide ribosomal RNA is filed under the name uncultured archaeon. RNAcentral describes it as "bacterial SSU rRNA". It matches the Rfam family "Archaeal small subunit ribosomal RNA", at positions 82 to 725 of the family's 1478-position model. The record is from RNAcentral.